This 468-nucleotide ribosomal RNA is filed under the name uncultured bacterium. Its description in RNAcentral is "partial 16S ribosomal RNA". It matches the Rfam family "Bacterial small subunit ribosomal RNA", at positions 28 to 507 of the family's 1533-position model. The record is from RNAcentral.
GACGAACGCUGGCGGCGUGCUUAACACAUGCAAGUCGAACGGAAAGGCCCUGCUUUUGUGGGGUGCUCGAGUGGCGAACGGGUGAGUAACACGUGAGUAACCUGCCCUUGACUUUGGGAUAACUUCAGGAAACUGGGGCUAAUACCGGAUAGGAGCUCCUGCUGCAUGGUGGGGGUUGGAAAGUUUCGGCGGUUGGGGAUGGACUGGCGGCUUAACAGCUUGUUGGUGGGGUAGUGGCUUACCAAGGAUUUGACGGGUAGGCGGCCUGAGAGGGUGACCGGCCACAAUGGGACUGAGGGAGGGCGCAGUCGGGUACGGGAGGCAACGGGGGGGAGUAUUGCACAGUGGGCGGAAGUCGGAGGCAGCGACGCCGCGUGCGGGAAGACGGCUUUUGGGGUGUGAACCGCUGUCGCCUGUGACGAAGCGUGAGUGACGGUAAUGAGUAAAGAAGCACCGGCUAACUACGUG